Molecule: non-coding RNA, 185 nt
Filed under: Peptococcaceae bacterium
Lineage: Bacteria; Bacillati; Bacillota; Clostridia; Eubacteriales; Peptococcaceae
Source: RNAcentral
GAAUAACAUUGGAAUUCAGGUAUCGGAGUAUGAGUGCUUCGGUUAAAAAGGAAGCAGGUGUAAUUCCUGCACGGUCCCGCCGCUGUGAUGGGGAGAUGUUUCGUAAAGGCCACUGGUUUAGUCUGGGAAGGUGCGAAACAUUGAUGAUCCAGAGUCAGAAGACCUGCCUGUAUUUUAGACACCAA